This 73-nucleotide transfer RNA is filed under the name Variovorax sp. WDL1. Its description in RNAcentral is "tRNA-Arg". It matches the Rfam family "tRNA". From Rfam's summary of the family: Transfer RNA (tRNA) molecules are approximately 80 nucleotides in length. Lineage: Bacteria; Pseudomonadati; Pseudomonadota; Betaproteobacteria; Burkholderiales; Comamonadaceae. The record is from RNAcentral. RNAcentral also lists the same sequence under 1 other name.
GCGCCAUUAGUUCAGUGGAUAGAACAAGGGCCUCCUAGACCCUCGGUCGCAAGUUCAAACCUUGCAUGGCGCU